Molecule: long non-coding RNA, 254 nt
Organism: Agrilus planipennis (emerald ash borer)
Lineage: Eukaryota; Metazoa; Arthropoda; Insecta; Coleoptera; Buprestidae
Exons: 3
Source: RefSeq, a predicted model, not a curated record
CGUAGCUAUUAACCUAUUCACAUAAGUAGAAGCUUAGGAGAAUACGCAAAGUGAUUCACUUGAUAACUUUAUCGACAUUGACUCUGAAGGAAAACGAAGAGGUAAAGGGUGGAGACGUGAAGGCGGGGAAAGAAAAAGAGAGACGAGGAGCCAGUCCGUCGUCGGUCUGACCCUUUUGGAUCGAGUGUGUGUCUGUCUGCUGUAACGAUUUCCAGUGUCCAGGAGUUUGUUUCUUCUGUGUGGGGGUGAGUCUA